UACGUAGGGGGCAAGCGUUGUCCGGAUUUAUUGGGCGUAAAGAGCGUGUAGGCGGCCUGAAAGGUCAGCUGUGAAAACUCGAGGCUCAACCUCGAGACGUCGGUUGAAACCAUCUGGCUAGAGUCCGGAAGAGGAGAGUGGAAUUCCCGGUGUAGCGGUGAAAUGCGCAGAUAUCGAGAAGAACACCCGUGGCGAAGGCGGCUCUCUGGGACGGUA
RNAcentral lists this ribosomal RNA (216 nucleotides) under uncultured bacterium. Its description in RNAcentral is "partial 16S ribosomal RNA". It matches the Rfam family "Bacterial small subunit ribosomal RNA", at positions 524 to 739 of the family's 1533-position model. The record is from RNAcentral.